AUCAUUUUUGAUGGUCUCUCUGUGUAAGUCUUAUCUCCUCAUUCUGUUGUCAAGCCCGUCCAAUAAAUAAGUUAUUCUAGAUAAUAUUCAGUUCUAGAAUUUUUCUUCAUAGUUACUAUUUUUUACUGCAGUUAGUUUUCACUUAUUAUGACCAUGUUUUCGUUCAUAUCCUUGAGUAUAGAUAUAGGUACAUUGUCUCCUAAUUCCAACAUUGGGUUCUCUCCAGAUUAGUCUCUCGAUUACCUCUUCUCUUGAGGGUGGGUCUCAUUUUCUUGUUUCUUUUUAUAUGAGCAAAAUUGGAUUGUGCCAUUCCCUCCUUCCGAGACUAGGCUACCCUUCAGUAUAAACUUCUUUUUGUUGUUCUCUGGUGGCUUCAGACAGUUGGUUUUAUAUUUAUUCUAGUUUAGUUACUUUUUGCCAGAAAUUGUGGUUCGAUACACUGGUACCAAUCACAGAACCAUGGUUUAAGUAUAACUUAAAGUUUCCAUGUCGACUAAAACAGCCUCCACAGUGACGUGAGUGUUGGGAUGAAGUCAGAUUGGAGGUAGGGGUUUGCAGUGAACCGUAUUUUCUGUCAGCAGGAAUUCAGUAACUUAUGCAAAGGUCGAUUGGUCAAAGAACAGUAUAAACAUGUGAUUUGAAGAUAUGUGCAUAUCUGCCUGGACAAAUCACCUCUUAAAUUGAAAAAAAAAUUAAGAGUGGUUGCUACUUAAAAAAAAAAAAAAAAAAAGGAUGCCUGGGUGGCUCAGUUGGCUAAGUGUUUGUCUCUUAAUUUCAGUGUCAUGAGUUCAAGCCCUGCAUUGGGCUCUGGAGCCUGCUUUAAAAAAUAAAGAAAUAAAAGAGUGGUUGCUAUUGGGGUGCCUGGGUGGCUCAGUCGGUUGGGCAUCCAACUUUGGCUCAGGUCAUGAUCUCACAGCUCUUGAGUUCGAGCCCCGUGUCGGGCUCUGUGCUGACAGCUUGGAGCCUGGAGCCUGCUUUGGAUUCUGUCUGUCUCUCUGUCUCUCUGUAUCUCUCUCUCUCUCUCUCUCUGCCCCUCCCCUGCUUGUGCUCUGUCUCUCUCUGUCUCUCGAAAAUGAAUAAAUGUAAAAAAAAAAAAUUAAUUAAAAAAAAAAAAAAGAGUGGUUGCUACUGAAGGUGUGGAAGGGUGAACCGUAGCACUCUUGCUUUUUAUUGUAAGUUUUUCUGCAUUACUUACCUAAGGUGUAAGUUCUUAGAAGAAAACUCAAAUUUUAGCAAGCAGGAAAUCUAACCACUACUGUCUCUAGCCACUACUGACUAAUGCUUUCCACGCCAGACUCUGGGUAAUGGGAAGGGUAAUCCUAAUUUGGGAACGAAUGUGAAGUUCAAGUCUGGAUAGAAACUUGAAGACCGAUUUUAAGAGGUUUCCUUUUGUUAAAAUUGUGCCUUUUGGUUUGUUCUGUGAGACCGGGUUCCUUGCAUUGUGUCCAGUCCUCUCUGAGGAGGUGAGGCUGGGAGGAAUGAUUGGUAGCAGGGGGAGAGUGUGUCCUGUGCUCCGGCCUUUCCUCUGGAAAGAGUACUUGGUGAAGAAGAAAGAAUUGUGUGCCUAAAAGGUUUUUAUUAACCCCCUCCCCCACCUUCAGAAGUAACAGCUGUUGAAGUCCAGAGGGGCACCUGGCGGGCCCAGUCGGAAGAGCAUAGAACUCUUGAUCUUGGGAUCGUGAGUUCAACCCCACGUUGGGUGGAGAGAUUACUUAAAUAAAUAAAAAAAAUAAUAAAGGCCAAGCAGAUACAUCAACUUUUAUCUUCAUGCCCAAUAGCAUGAAGCUUAGUAUGCGUAGAAUAGCAUAUUAGAUGCUAUUCUUUUAGGUUCCUUUUUUACUUGUGUCUUUUUAACAUAUUUUCAUAUGGCUCUAUGAAUAUACCAGUUAGUGAUUCUAAGGUUUUGGGUUUUGUUGUUGUUGUUGCUGUUGUUUGUUUGUUUUUUAAGUGCUUCAUCCCGUGGGUGGCACAGGACCGUAGUUGGUCGGGUGUCAGUCACGACACAGUGGUCAUUACCUGCACCUGUGCAAACUUGACUAUCCCCUGUUCUGUCAGCAUUAAGGACCUUUUGAAGAAUUUGCCCUGAAAAAACCUUUUAAUACAAGCAAGCUCAGGACCUAAACUUACAAAGUGGGUGGGAGCAGAUGAGCAGGAAAUGCUUAGUUCCUCUGUGACCGGAAGCUCACGGGCAGUACUCACGCCCUUGGUGCUCAUGGAGCACGGUGACAGGUGGAAAACACAGCCCUCCUUGACAAGGGUCUUAAAGAUGCAGCGGAGUGAGACUGCGUAAAACCUCCGAGGAGUGUCUUAACCAUUUAACUUUUCUUUACUUACAAAGAGUGUUAGGAUAAAUCUGUUUGAGUGUAAACGGCUAAUCUUUAAGUAAACCUAAAAAUUCCAUCGAAGGAUGUUGUAUUUUAACUGGUAGCAUUUUCUUAGUGGUACUUAAAGUAACGAUACGUAUUAUGAUUGGUGUCUUAGAUGAAAUUUGGUCAAUACAUCACAGGUUUUAUAGCCACUCUAUGUUCUUUGACAUUGUUAAAAGCUGCGUACCGUAUCCUCAGAUAAAUCUAACAGGGUAUUUACCUAAUUCCCUAUGUUUGCCGUAUAGAUUGUUACAAGGUUUUUGCCACUGUGAGCAAUGCUGUGAUAGUUUGCUAGCUAAGUAUUUUUAUAAUUUUGUGAUAAUUUCCCCAUGAUAAAUGCAUAUAGUUGUUGUAUCAAAAGGAAUGUGCUUUAAGGCUUUUGAAUAUUUCUAAAUUUUAUUCCAGAAAAAAUCCUAACUGUGUACUCUCUGACCCCCAAUGGAUAGAAGCUCCCAUUUUCCUGCACUUUGGCUAUCAUUGGGCUUCAUUGUUUCUUUAAAGACCUUUGUUAAUUUAAUAACUGGGAGAUGAAUAUACUGCCACCAGACAGAAGUCAGUCCGAACGAGGUAACCUAAGAAGUUCCCCGGAACCAAACACCUAGAACUGUGUGCUUGGUAAAAAGUAUGAGCCUCUGUGUGGAAGCAGGAGGCUAUGAUAUGGGGAGGAGUGCGCUCGAGGACAGAGGCCACACAGAAAAGGAGACAAAGCCUUGUGCCUGGGCGAGGAGGGAGAGAGCUGCCGUUUCCAUGGAGAUCUUUAGUGACAAGAUUGUGAAGGAUAUGACGUAAUAUACAGAAGAGAACGUGAAAAUUAUAAACUCAGGAGAAUCUUCGCCUCGCUGUAGUCAGAGAAAUACGUAUUAACACCGUGGCGACCCGCAGUACAAAUGUGUGGAAGAGGCUGUCGGCUGUUAAACAGCACUGGUGGCUGUCCAGCGACAGCACAUCUGACAACAGCUUUGUUGGGAACUACCAAAACCUGGACCUCAACCAAAGUGAUCGUUCGUAGGGUCCAUCAACAAGAAAACGGAGGACUUACUGUAAGGGCUAAGCUGUAUCUAAAACUUGAAAACAUACGGAAUGGUAAUUUCAGGUACAGUGUUACAGUAAGAUAUAAAAACAUACGUAGGAAGUGCUGUGCACCACAUCAUGGGGUAUUUGCCCCUAGGGAAAGCAGAAGGAAGGGAGACACUGGGGAGCAGUACAAAGCAGGUCUCUUGCAGAAUCUGUACUAUAUUUAAUUUCCUAAAAAGUUGAGGGAGGUGUAGCUGGAAUGAGACCAUGGGAGUAGGAGAUUUGUCCAAACUGCAUCAUCAGUUUAUAAGAGUUCAUUGUAUGUUAUAAACUGUGAUUCCCUGUACAUUUGAAACGUUUAAUGAAGUGAUUGGUUGUUUUAAGGCAGAGUUCUUUGAUUACUGAAGCUAAAGAUUUUUUUUCAGCUUUUUAACCACUAAUACGUAUUUCUUUCAGCUUUGGGAUUUUCUGUUGGUAUGCUCUCCCCAUGUUUCUGUGGAGGUUAACUUUUUCACGUUUUUAAUUCUCUUAAUUGAUUAAAGAUAAUUAACUCGUUAGAGAUCUCUUUUACUAAGAUAUUUUCAGAAUCUCAGAUUAAGUGCUUAGAUUACUUUGCUUAGAAAAGCCUUCUCCAAUCUCAGAUCAGGAAACAGUUCGUGGGUAUUUUCUUUGUUUUAUGGUUUAGGUUUGUAUAUUUUAAGUCUUAACCCUUCUGUGUCAUGUAUUUUGGAGUAUGGAAUGUGUUUUGAAAUCACCUCUGUCUUUACGCACUAACCUGAAACAGGCCAGAAUUUAUUGUCUUAAUGAUUUUUCUUUCUGAGUCCAUGUUGUCUGUUCGUUUUAUCCAAGUGGUAAUAUGUGCAGAUGAACUGA
This is a long non-coding RNA of Neofelis nebulosa (Clouded leopard), 4253 nucleotides long. RefSeq lists it as uncharacterized. The record is from RefSeq and is a predicted model, not a curated record. Lineage: Eukaryota; Metazoa; Chordata; Mammalia; Carnivora; Felidae. The transcript is spliced from 3 exons.